Molecule: ribosomal RNA, 115 nt
Filed under: Bacillus sp. ok061
Lineage: Bacteria; Bacillati; Bacillota; Bacilli; Caryophanales; Bacillaceae
Description: 16S rRNA. Bacterial SSU
Rfam family: Bacterial small subunit ribosomal RNA
Source: RNAcentral
CUUUAUUGGAGAGUUUGAUCCUGGCUCAGGAUGAACGCUGGCGGCGUGCCUAAUACAUGCAAGUCGAGCGAAUGGAUUAAGAGCUUGCUCUUAUGAAGUUAGCGGCGGACGGGUG